This is an unclassified non-coding RNA of Stylophora pistillata, 778 nucleotides long. The record is from RefSeq and is a predicted model, not a curated record. Lineage: Eukaryota; Metazoa; Cnidaria; Anthozoa; Scleractinia; Pocilloporidae.
GUAUAAACAUUUUUUUUUAUUACACCCCAAGAUAAUGAAGCGACAUUGAGAUUUAAGGUUCAUGAACAGUUAAGGAUUAUGGUUCAGUAGCGAAGAAAAUACCAAUUUAAUAUGGAACGUGAGAAAACUAAUGGAGCGGAGCAACGUGGACGGCGAGGCAAAAGUGUUGAUGUCACUUUUAUGUUUCAUCGCCGUUCAAGUUUUGAGAUGCAGAAUGAAACAAUUCCUCGAGACUCUGCCGAUAAUCUUUCAAAACUCCGGAAAAGGAUACGAAAUAAAUCGUGGCCAAGUGAAGCUUUACGAAAAAAUUCCUUGCCAGUCGAGAAAAGAUCUCAGUUGUCUAGAGCUGCGUUUAAUGAGCGCAGACGAUCACAUUAUGCAAGAUAUAACGGACAUCUGUUUGACAGGAACAAAACUGGGCGAUGGCAAGGGGAUUAUAUCAAGAUGAACGUACCCAAGAAAUGGCUUAGAGAAUAUGAGAAAAAGCAAGCAGAUCUUCGGGAGCAAGCCAAAGAAAAUCUUCAGGUUGAACUUCUCAAGGCCACAGUGACUCACUCUGUUCUGUGUGUGUUAUUUUUUAGCCUCUGGAUCGAUUUAGACAUGCUGUUAGACUGGUAAGCAUGAUACGAUCACUAAUCACCCUUGCUGAUGGCACAUCCAUCGCUGCUGCUGUUGUUGUUGUUUUCACCCACGUUAGGUUAAAACUCUUAACACUUCUUUUCGGAACAUCGUACAUUACGCUGUAAAGAAAGGCCAGUAUGAACAAGUUACCUCUGAC